RNAcentral lists this ribosomal RNA (777 nucleotides) under uncultured Neocallimastigales. RNAcentral describes it as "partial large subunit ribosomal RNA". It matches the Rfam family "Eukaryotic large subunit ribosomal RNA", at positions 23 to 642 of the family's 3401-position model. The record is from RNAcentral. Lineage: Eukaryota; Fungi; Neocallimastigomycota; Neocallimastigomycetes; Neocallimastigales.
AACACGCAUGACACACUGCAUAUCAAUAAGCGGAGGAAAAGAAACUAACAAGGAUUCCCUUAGUAACGGCGAGUGAAGCGGGAAGAGCUCAAAUUUGAAAUCUUCAAGGUUCUACCUUGACGAAUUGUAGUUUAUAGAAGUGUUUUCUGUUAGUAGAGUGGCAAAAGUUCUUUGGAAUAGGACAUCAUAGAGGGUGAGAAUCCCGUAUUUGGUCAUUCUUUCUAGCUUUGUGAUACACUUUCAACGAGUCGGAUUGUUUGGGAAUGCAGUCCAAAAUGGGUGGUAAAUUUCAUCUAAAGCUAAAUAUUGGCGAGAGACCGAUAGCGAACAAGUACCGUGAGGGAAAGAUGAAAAGAACUUUGAAAAGAGAGUUAAACAGUACGUGAAAUUGUCAAAAGGGAAGCGUUUGACACCAGUGUUGUUUUUCCGAAAAUCAAUUACGAAUGUUUUAUUUUUGAGAAGUUAUGACUUCAUCGGCUUGCUUCUCUCUUUAUGAAACUUUCUUAAUGCACUUUUCGGUUAACAAGUCAACAUCAAUUUCUUUUGUUGUAAAAGGGUAUGAGGAAGGUGGCUUUCUUUUCGGAGAAAGUGUUUAUAGCCUUGUACCUCUGCAAUCGGAGAGAUUGAGGUACUGCAGCGUAGACUCCUUCGGGGUUAGAUACACUUGUGCUAAGCUAUAGCCUUGUAUAGACAACUUGUUGACUAUGCUCAGUCAUGUAGCUUACUCGCUUAUGCUAUUUUACCUACGCUUAGGAUGUUGAGCGCAUGUCUCUCUCU